Molecule: long non-coding RNA, 505 nt
Filed under: Pan troglodytes (chimpanzee)
Lineage: Eukaryota; Metazoa; Chordata; Mammalia; Primates; Hominidae
Description: long non-coding RNA NONPTRT016674
Source: RNAcentral
CAAACUUAUGCUGGGAUUCAGCCAACAGGAGAUAUUUUGUCUUUCAUCACCAGGUUUAGGGCAAUAGACUCUGCCAAGAGGGGAUUAUUACAUACUGCAGAGCCCAGCACCCAGGAUGAAAAGCCAGAAUACAAGCAGUGACCACCACACCUGACAGACCUGUUGCUGCACAUAUCUGUACUCUCCAAUCAACAAAACCUGAUGCUAAAAACAGAAAAGGGGAGAUGUAGGAGAUUGGUCAGGGUGGUGGGAAAAAUUGUAGAAAGAUGCAAACCUUGGAAGGCUGGAAGGUUUUACAAAAGCUUCAGAAUAGGAUUUGGCUGAAGGCAGCCAGAUUCUCUUAUCCUAUGCCUUAAAGCUUAAGUUAGAUAACAAGGGGAUAUAAAGAAACUGAUCUAGGUAAGUUAGUUUACUUAGGCCUUGGAACCUGGCCUUUAAUCAUCUGCAGGACUGCUCUCCAGGGAGGGCGACUAUGUUAAUUAUCCACAAGUGUGUUAACUCAAAG